RNAcentral lists this ribosomal RNA (562 nucleotides) under Epidendrum ramosum. Its description in RNAcentral is "eukaryotic LSU rRNA". The stretch from base 111 to 266 matches the Rfam family "5.8S ribosomal RNA". Lineage: Eukaryota; Viridiplantae; Streptophyta; Magnoliopsida; Asparagales; Orchidaceae. The record is from RNAcentral.
AUGAAAAACUCAAACCGGCGCAGCUAAGCGCCAAGGAAAAUAUCGAAAUACAUGAGCCCUCUAUCGGGUUUUAUGGCAUGGGGUGCUGUUGCACAUCAUGCGGUUGACAUGACUCUCGGCAAUGGAUAUCUCGGCUCUCGCAUCGAUGAAGAGCGCAGCGAAAUGCGAUACGUGGUGCGAAUUGCAGAAUCCCGCGAACCAUCGAGAAUUUGAACGCAAGUUGCGCCCGAGGCCAGCCGGCCAAGGGCACGUCCGCCUGGGCGUCAAGCGUUGCGUCGCUCCGUGCCAAUUCUAGCCCACCCAACGGGUGCGUCGGUCGAGGCUCGGAUGUGCAGAGUGGCCCGUCGUGCCCUGGGGCGCGGCGGGCUGAAGAGUGGGUCAUCGUCUCAUCGGCCAUGAACAGCAAGGGGUGGAUGAAAAUUGUGCCUGUGCUGCGUCGUGGCGGCUCGAGAAGAGAUUAUACCUUGCAGGUGAUCCCAGCCCAUGCGCCGGUCCAACGGUCGGCGGCUUGGAAUGCGACCCCAGGAUGGGCGAGGCCACCCGCCGAGUUUAAGCAUAUCAU